GACGAACGCUGGCGGCGUGCCUAAUACAUGCAAGUCGAGCGAGCGGAACUAACAGAUUUUCUUCGGUAAUGACGCUAGGAAAUCGUGCGGCGGAUGGGUGAGUAACACGUGGGGAACCUGCCCCAUAGUCUGGGAUACCACUUGGAAACAGGUUCUAAUACCGGAUAAGAAAGCAGAUCGCAUGAUCAGCUUUUAAAACUCGGCGUAAGCUGUCGCUAUGGGAUGGCCCCGCGGUGCAUUAGCUAGUUGGUAAGGUAAAGGCUUACCAAGGCGAUGAUGCAUAGGCGAGUUGAGAGACUGAUCGGCCACAUUGGGACUGAGACACGGCCGAAACUCCGACGGGAGGCAGCAGUAGGGAAUCUUCCACAAUGGACGCAAGUCUGAUGGAGCAACGCCGCGUGAGUGAAGAAGGUUUUCGGAUCGUAAAGCUCUGUUGUUGGUGAAGAAGGAUAGAGGUAGUAACUGGCCUUUAUUUGACGGUAAUCAACCAGAAAGUCACGGCUAACUACGUG
This 512-nucleotide ribosomal RNA is filed under the name uncultured bacterium. Its description in RNAcentral is "partial 16S ribosomal RNA". It matches the Rfam family "Bacterial small subunit ribosomal RNA", at positions 28 to 507 of the family's 1533-position model. The record is from RNAcentral.